Molecule: ribosomal RNA, 505 nt
Filed under: Adalia angulifera
Lineage: Eukaryota; Metazoa; Arthropoda; Insecta; Coleoptera; Coccinellidae
Description: partial large subunit ribosomal RNA
Rfam family: Bacterial large subunit ribosomal RNA
Source: RNAcentral
UUUUAGAAAAUAAUUUAAAGUAGGGCCUGCCCACUGAGUAUUUGAAGGGCCGCAGUAUUUUGACUGUGCAAAGGUAGCAUAAUCAUUAGUUUUUUAAUUGAAAGCUUGUAUGAAUGGUUUGAUGAGAAAAUAGCUUUCUUUGUUUAAAUUUUUAAAACUUUAUUUUUAAGUUAAAAAGCUAAAUAUUUUUAAAAGACGAGAAGACCCUAUAGAGUUUUAUUAUUACGAGAAUUUUUAAAUAUUAGAAUUUAAAAUUUUAAUUUUUUUAAUAAUUUAAUUGGGGUGAUUGAAAAAUUAAUAUAACUUUUUUUUUUAUAAUUACAUUUAUUUAUGAAAAUUUGAUCCAUAAAAAUGAUUAAAAGAUAAAAUUACCUUAGGGAUAACAGCGUUAUUUUUUUUUAGAGUUCAAAUCGAAAAAAGAGAUUGCGACCUCGAUGUUGGAUUAAAGUUAAUUCUUGGUGUAGGUGCUUUGAUAUUUAGUCUGUUCGACUAUUAAAACUUUACA